Long non-coding RNA from Daphnia pulicaria, 491 nucleotides. RefSeq lists it as uncharacterized. The transcript is spliced from 3 exons. NCBI's taxonomy places the organism in Eukaryota, Metazoa, Arthropoda, Branchiopoda, Diplostraca, Daphniidae. The record is from RefSeq and is a predicted model, not a curated record.
GGAAUUCGGAUUCGGACAUCUCUGGAAACGUUAAUUAAUGAUUUCUGCAAUUUUCCACAACUAAGUAAUGCCAUAAUUGCUUAAGCUGUUCAUGAAAAAGAAUGAAAAAUGUCGUCUGUGACUGUCACCUGUCAGUGAUAACGUCGUCUGUGAUGAAUUCAGUCAGAUGCCGACCUUUUAUCCGGUACUUCAAUCUUGCCUUAAGGAUCACAACAAGAAUUACCAGUAAUGCACUUAUUCUUCGAUCAUGGGAGACCUUAGCUUCCUACACAGCGAUCAGUCUUCCCCAAUAGAAUAUGUUGAUAUAUAACCUCACAGUAAAUUUGUACAGGGAUACUCUUAUGGGCUUUUUUUCUAUCGAGGAGAAUGGAAUACUGCCACAUGCAAACAGAAUUGUUCCCAUUUUGAAGAUAACAUGACAGAUAACUGUCAGACAUCAUUGAAGUCAACAAUAAGUGAUGACCGCUUCUUAAGCUGUCAUCAGUCAGAUG